Homo sapiens (human) is the source of this 1596-nucleotide long non-coding RNA. Ensembl annotates it as PRKG1 antisense RNA 1. Its record names the gene PRKG1-AS1. Lineage: Eukaryota; Metazoa; Chordata; Mammalia; Primates; Hominidae. The record is from Ensembl.
GAAAAAUGUGCAAAGAGAAGGAAAUUUGCACAUCAAACGAGGGGCAAUCGCGGCGGUAGAUGAACUUGAUUAGGCAGACGCGUGAGAUCAAAGUGGCCGGGACCAAAGCGGACAGGGUCCAACGUGCCAGCACUGCCAAGAGAAGGCCUUUUGUACUCAGGUUAAAUAAGAACAUCCUGCAAGGAGUCUGUUCUUUUAUGCAGCCUAAAGAUCAAGUAAUAAUCAUUGACACUGAUACUGAGCAUGUCGAUUUUGAAGAGACUAGCAUGAACCUUGAAGAAUCAUGUUCUUCCUAGGAAUUACAAAUCCCCCGAUUCCAUGUCUAACAUAAUUUCUACUGGCCUCUUUGCUUCUCAUGCUUUAGUACCAGUGCUUCUGAAUUUGAAAGUCUUCAUGCAAAUUGCCCAGGUUUGCUGGCAGCUGUGUCUCAGAAAAAGCUGUCUUCAGCAAGGCAGAAGCAGACCAGGGUGGUCCAGAGUUGGUGACUAUUAUGGCAUGGCUACCCAGGGCCAGAGAGGUGAGGUUUAAUGAGAAAGAAGAUAGAUGAAAAUGACUCCUCCUCCUGCUUUCACUGCUGCAGCAACUCAGGCCUGCAGACAAGAUCCAGCUCUAUUGCCCAAGCUGGAGUGCAGUGGUGAGAUAAUGAUUCACUGCAGCCUUGAUCUCCUGGGCUCAAGCAGUUCUCCUGCCUCAGCCUCCUGAGUAGCUGGGACCACAGGCACCCUCCACCAUGUCUGGCCAAAAUUUUUUGAAUUUUUUGUAGAGACCAGGUUUCACCAUGUUGCCCAGGCUGAUUUCAAAUUCCUGGGCUCAAGUGAUCUUCCUGCCUCAGCCUCUCAAAGUGCUGAGAUUACAAGUGUGAGCCACCACACCCAGCCAAAAUAUAAAUACGCCUUUAAUAGUAACACCUAAUUACCUAACACCAUCAAAAAUGGGGUGCUCCAUGAAGAAGCACAUAAUUCAAAUUAUUGAAGUUUAUCCCUUCUAAUGACCACAUAGAUUUCUCUUGCCCCAUUAAAAAAUUAGAUAAUCAGUAUUUCUAGGAUAGUUGUUUUCUUCCAACCAAUUAAGGCAUAAUCUAUGUAGCAGAACAUUCAGAGGAUGAUGCCUGGUCAACAUUUGAAUAAACAAUCACUGUGAUGUUACCUCUAUUUAAGAUGACUCCAAUAAAACUUCUAUGGUUUGCAUUAUUAGUUGAUCAGACUUUAAGCAUUAUCUUUUGAUAGGGUCAAGGAACCUGUCUUAACUCCCCAUCUCUGACCAAAAUAUACUUGUUUUCUAUAAGCUAUAAAGCCAGAUAGCCAAUUUUAUGAGAAUUGUCCCUAUACUAUAUCCAUGUGAGCGAUGAGUGCCUGGCAUGAAGAUGCAUAAAGGAGGCAGUAAUAUACAACAACUGAAGCAUAACCUCUGGAGCCAGUCUUCUUCAGACAAAUCCCAAUUCCAUUACUCACUGGCCACCUAAACAAGCUACUUAAUUCAUCUGCCUCAGUUUUCUUCAACUGUUUAAUGGGUAUGAUCAACAAACCAACUUCAGUGGGUUAUCAUAAAUAUUAAUAAAUGAGAGAAUGCAUGUGAAACAAAGCUAUAAGCAAUCAU